Molecule: non-coding RNA, 4421 nt
Organism: Macaca mulatta (Rhesus monkey)
Lineage: Eukaryota; Metazoa; Chordata; Mammalia; Primates; Cercopithecidae
Source: RefSeq, a predicted model, not a curated record
AUUUCAUGUGACUGGUGAUUACUUAGCACAUAGUGAUCCUUUUGAAUCUUCAUAAAAAAUCAUAUAAAAUAGUUGUUAAUGUUUCUUAAUUUUACAGAUGAAGAAAAGGAUUCAGAGAGUAUCUUUGAGACUUCACACAAGAAAGUGCAACAGUGACUUAGGACAGGGUUCUCAGAGCUUGGAUGUGUACAGCCUCUCUCUCACCGAACGUCCCCUCCUCCCCAAACCAGCUCAUCCAUGAGUGUAUUAGAUUUGUCUGAAUUUACUGAAAAAUCUUAGGGAAAUUUAAAAGUUGUAUAAGAACAGCAUAUGAGCCAACAUGAGCACUGAUAUCUCAAAAGAGCAAUUUUGUCUAUUUAUUUGGCUUUCCUCUUUCAUUAACUCAUAUUUUACCUCAUUCCAGAAAUGAUCUGAUAUGGCAAGCUGUUGGUAUUGUUGUCAUUUUAUUUGUCAUUAACUUGUAGGGCCCUGAAGGAGUGCAGAGUUGGUGAGAAGCCUGAGGUUCUCUGGGGUGGGAAGUAGCAGCUGGAAGAGAGGCAGAGGAGAAAGGCUCCCCAUCCUCGACUCGGCUCACACUCCGCUUGGGGCUAACCAUGGCUGUGAAGACGGCACACAGACAUUCUGAGACGCGAACUGCAUCUGGCAUGAACUAACUGCGAACAUUCUUAGAGAAGAGCCACAUAGGGGCAUCUGGAUCUUUUUUGAAAAAAUGUAAAAUAGCAAUACAGAAACAUUUUAUUCAUUCAAAUCAAAUUACGAACAAUCCUGAGUUCUCUACAAGCUUCAGUUCAAAACAGACCUUUGAUGUCUUUCAAGUUUAAAGCACUAUUUUCAAUUGUGACUUUUAGAGUUGGAAGAGCCCUGGCAGUUUGAACUCAAGUAAAUGGUAUGUGAAUGUGUGGCUUUAUUCUUGAUUUAAUUCAAAAUACCAUCUUAUUGCUUAAUAGUUCCCCUUCCAAUUAGAAGAAAGAUUGGUUUCUCCGAAGUGGAGGGAUUGGGGUUAACAAGAUUAUUAUUCCUGGACUUCUAAGAGAAGGAAGGAAAAUAGGGGGAUUGUUUUCCACAAAUCCCACUGUGUGUUACGUGGGAAAGUUGAGUGCACAAAGGGGAUGCUGGCCAGGUAGUCCUGGCGUGGUCCUAUUAGGGUGAGAGAUUCUGAGCACAGCUUCUGAAAUCUCUGGAGUGCUUUCGCUCUACAGGAAAACGUACAUUCAGUGACAGGCCACAUGUGGGUAGUUAACAAGGGGAAGGGACAGAUAGUAACAACUAACCCUUAGUAUGUAUUAAAACUGUUCUCAGUGCUUUCAGAGAUUAUUUAAUUCUCACAAUAGGCCAACAUAUGAGAAAAUAGGACCAGAGAGGUACUGUCCAAGCUCACAUGAGUAAAUGGUAAAGCCAAGCUUCAAACCAAAGCAAGUUGGUUCCAGAAUCCAGGCUUUUAAUCACUAACCUACAUCAUCUCCCCAAAUGAGAGCAAACAUACAGCAAUACUGUUCUAAGUGCUUUAUCCAUAUUAACUCUUUUAAUUUUCACAGCAACCCCAUGACACAGGAUUUAUUCUUGUUCUCCUUUUACAGCUGAGGAAACUGAAGCACAGAUUAGUUAAAAGGUUAAGAUGAUCAUUAACGUUGAGGGUGUGCUUAAAGACAAGACUGCCUCUUCUUAAAGUCUGUUUGAAGGGCACUCAGCAUGUGCAGAAUUGAGCUCUGAUCCCCACCACCUUCUUUUUUCCCUGGGGUUCCCCUUACAUGGGUAGAUCCAUGCUGCACAACCUCUGAAGUCUUUGGUCUAAGCAUAGGGAUAAUUUUGGUUCCUGGUGCCUCUUGUCAUGGUUGGGAUUUUAAAAAAAGACACUAAAUAUAGAGGAGGAACAGGACACACUUCCUGUGCACUGAGCUCUACACCUUGAACGAGUGCUGUUUUAGCAACAAGGUUCUGAGGCAACUUACACAGGCACCUCCUGCACAGGCCUGCCCUCCAUGGGCGCCAUCUUCCUAAGUCUUCCCCUUUGACACCACAGUCAAGAAGCGCUUGGGUCUCCUCCUCAGGUGCUUGUCGUCUACUGGUAAUUAACGAAAUGGAUGAUGUCACUCUUCUGAUGAAAACAUCUGCUUCCCUAUAGCAAUAGAUGUUUAGGCGGUUGGCCAGGAGGAGGAAUGUGUAGACCCAAAGAGAUAUCUUGUUAGUUACUUUAUCUAUUAGCAGAAAAUGAGGUCCGGUGACUGGAUGAUUGUGUCACCAAGAGUGACAGAAAAUCCAAAAGAAAAAGAAAGAGUGGUUCUCUUCCAUUCACAGGUUCUUUUCAAUACAAGUGUUCCUUUAUUUCUUGGAACUUCAGUUUUCUUAUAUGCAAAGUGAAUUUAUUGAAAAGUCCUCUAAAUUCUAGCUAAUUCUUGUAGUCCCUGAAUUUUGCACUCAUUUUAAGAGAAAUUUUGAGACAAUAAAAUGGAUUAUCAGUAAUAAUAUUUGUAUUUUAACUUGCAACUAAAUUAAUAUUUCUUUUUUAAUUUGUUUUCUAUUUUUUCUGUGUUUAGUUUUCAAACUAAAGAAAACAGGCUGUAUUGUGCAUAUAGUAUCUACAAUCGCACAUUCAACAACUGAAUUAUAUCAUUCUCAGUUUUAAUUAAAGAAAUGAUCAGAAUCCCUAAAGAAAGUAAUGCUGUGUUCAUUUACUCAAUUACUUUCAUAGUUUUCUAUUGAAUGCCUUCCUGAAACUGUCCUCACUCCCCCUCACUGCUUCUCCAAGGUAUAGAAAUAGGCAGCCCCAUACUGCCACAUGUCUGACUAUGUUACAUGUGUGUUAUACCAUAUUAUCCUGGAUAAUGAGUCAUCCCAUCUGACUGGCUGGGAACCAUAAGGUGUUCUCCUUUUCUUAAGAUUUUUGCCCUUUGAAAUAAUCUUUCUGUUUCUCCUCACACCAACGAGUCCCUAUUCUUAGAUGCUUCUGGAGUUUCCAUAUCUGAGUUCUUCUGGCAAUGAUGGCCAGAAAGAAAGGAGAAGAAAGGAAACCACCAGUAGCUGUCUUUCUGCUGCCUGUCUGAGUACAGCCAAUAAACGGGAUUGAGUGGCAACUAACAAAAACUAACUUACUCUUGUCAAAAAGAUCUCCACAUCAGAGAACAAGACCUGGAAGCUGUAAGAAGCCUGGAUCCACACAAAUGGCUGCUUAGCAUUCAAAUACUCCCCUCCCAGAACACUUGAUGUGUUUCUUGAAUAUCUGACUUACUCUGCUGGCCAUCUACUGACAAAAGGAAUCUCUCCCCAGAUGAAAAUUUCUCUGGCUCUUUCUCUUUGUUUGUUUUUGGUGUUGUUUAAGAAACAGCAUUUCGAAUUCCCUCAGCCUUCCAAGAAAGCAGGCAGAUGUGUAAAUUAGAUUCCAAAGCACUAAGACUUCUACAUCUUAAUAAGCUGGGACGCAACCAUGCCCUGGAAGCAAAAGUGAAUAGAAUUCCCACAUUCACGAAGGGUCUACUGUUGAUUUUCUAAAAAGGAACAAAACGGUAACCAGAUGGUAGUUGACAGGGCAACUUUAAAGACAAGUAUUUGUUUUGAUCUCAUUCCUAAGGGAAAGAAAGUUAGAUAAUUAAUAGCAGGAAAGAACAGGAGAGAAAGGCAAGAGAAGAAGAAAUACCAAAGAUAAUGUAUAAAGGGAAAUGUGAGGAGCAAUGGAUGUUGGAAAAUAAAGGGAAAAUUUAGCCAGUUCUAGAAAAAUAGAAAAUGGGAUGAAAUGAAAUAUAACUGCACAUUUUUCAUGAAAUGGUUGCCUAGGAAACAACUAGGAGUGUUUCUCCCUGUACUGAAUAAUUGUUGAGAAACACACUGGACUUAGGGUCUCUUGGCUUUACUGGUAUCAACUGGGAAACUUAUGUGUCAGGUAUCGUAGUUAUGAGCACCAAUACUUUCUAUAUCAUGCUUCUAACAACAGAAGUAGCCAGUUUCAACAAUUUUGGAGGGUAAUAGCAGAGGAAUUGUAAGAUUGAAACCUACAAACACAGGCAGGGUGAGACUUGAAAAUCAGAUUAGUCUAGGAUGACGAUGACACAUUAGUAUGUGUAACACUAAGCAACAAACCGUGGAAAAGUCAAUUAGAAAAGCAGCUGAAGGCCCAUUUGGCAAUGUGAGAUCAUCUUUACAGCUUGCCCGGUAUCCCGUUGAAAACCAGUUUUCCAUAUAAAGAACUUGGUGCACUUAAAGUCAUAUAAUGUGAAGGCAAAAUUUCACAUUACAAAGCAGUUCUUCAUCUUCCGUUAGCGUACAGCCCCUAUGGAUCUUAUUAUCACUUUUUUGCUUUUAAUCUAAUAAAAACAAACAGCAUUAAAAAAUGCUUUACUGCUCCCAUUUGAGUUUGUCUUUUCUAUAGUUUAGUGAAUUUUGCAGAAAAUGUUUAUAUACAUUGUCUUAAAUAAACCCAUCUCUAUAAA